Molecule: ribosomal RNA, 492 nt
Filed under: uncultured bacterium
Lineage: Bacteria
Description: bacterial SSU rRNA
Rfam family: Bacterial small subunit ribosomal RNA
Source: RNAcentral
AGUGAACGCUGGCGGCAGGCCUAAUACAUGCAAGUCGAACGGCAGCACAGCAGAGCUUGCUCUGUGGGUGGCGAGUGGCGGACGGGUGAGGAAUACAUGGGAAUCUGCCCAGUCGUGGGGGAUAACGUAUGGAAACGUACGCUAAUACCGCAUGCGCCCUACGGGGGAAAGUCGGGGACCGCAAGGCCUGGCGCGAUUGGAUGAGCCCAUGUUCGAUUAGCUAGUUGGCGGGGUAAAGGCCCACCAAGGCGACGAUCGAUAGCUGGUCUGAGAGGAUGAUCAGCCACACUGGAACUGAGACACGGUCCAGACUCCUACGGGAGGCAGCAGUAGGGAAUAUUGGACAAUGGGGGCAACCCUGAUCCAGCCAUGCCGCGUGAGUGAAGAAGGCCCUCGGGUUGUAAAGCUCUUUUGUCCGGAAGAAAAGCAAUCGGUUAAUACCCGGUUGUUCUGACGGUCCGGAAGAUAAGCACCGGCUAACUUCGUGCCAGC